UACGUAGGGUGCAGGCGUUAAUCGGAAUUACUGGGCGUAAAGCGUGCGCAGGCGGUCUUUUAAGUCAGAUGUGAAAUCCCCCGGGCUUAACCUGGGAACUGCGUUUGAAACUGGAAGGCUUGAGUGUGGCAGAGGGGGGUGGAAUUCCACGUGUAGCAGUGAGAUGCGUAGAGAUGUGGAGGAACACCGAUGGCGAAGGCAGCCCCCUGGGCUAACACUGACGCUCAUGCACGAAAGCGUGGGGAGCAAACAGG
This 254-nucleotide ribosomal RNA is filed under the name uncultured bacterium. RNAcentral describes it as "partial 16S ribosomal RNA". It matches the Rfam family "Bacterial small subunit ribosomal RNA", at positions 524 to 776 of the family's 1533-position model. The record is from RNAcentral.